UCGCCGGACUUCCGCCCUUCACUGGGGAU
RNAcentral lists this small RNA (29 nucleotides) under Bombyx mori (domestic silkworm). Its description in RNAcentral is "piRNA piR-bmo-2130516". The record is from RNAcentral. Lineage: Eukaryota; Metazoa; Arthropoda; Insecta; Lepidoptera; Bombycidae.